RNAcentral lists this unclassified non-coding RNA (245 nucleotides) under plant metagenome. Its description in RNAcentral is "partial contains small subunit ribosomal RNA, internal transcribed spacer 1, and 5.8S ribosomal RNA". The record is from RNAcentral.
UCUCCGUUGGUGAACCAGCGGAGGGAUCAUUACCGAGUUUACAACUCCCAAACCCAAUGUGAACCAUACCAAACUGUUGCCUCGGCGGGGUCACGCCCCGGGUGCGUCGCAGCCCCGGAACCAGGCGCCCGCCGGAGGGACCAACCAAACUCUUUCUGUAGUCCCCUCGCGGACGUUAUUUCUUACAGCUCUGAGCAAAAAUUCAAAAUGAAAAAAAACUUUCAACAACGGAUCUCUUGGUUCUG